RNAcentral lists this ribosomal RNA (808 nucleotides) under Wolbachia endosymbiont of Cimex adjunctus. RNAcentral describes it as "bacterial SSU rRNA". It matches the Rfam family "Bacterial small subunit ribosomal RNA", at positions 121 to 964 of the family's 1533-position model. The record is from RNAcentral. Lineage: Bacteria; Pseudomonadati; Pseudomonadota; Alphaproteobacteria; Rickettsiales; Anaplasmataceae.
GGAAUCUACCUAGUAGUACGGAAUAAUUGUUGGAAACGGCAACUAAUACCGUAUACGCCCUACGGGGGAAAGAUUUAUUGCUAUUAGAUGAGCCUAUAUUAGAUUAGCUAGUUGGUAAGGUAAUGGCUUACCAAAGCAAUGAUCUAUAGCUGAUCUGAGAGGAUGAUCAGCCACACUGGAACUGAGAUACGGUCCAGACUCCUACGGGAGGCAGCAGUGGGGAAUAUUGGACAAUGGGCGAAAGCCUGAUCCAGCCAUGCCGCAUGAGUGAAGAAGGCCUUUGGGUUGUAAAGCUCUUUCGGUGAGGAAGAUAGUGACGGUACUCACAGAAGAAGUCCUGGCUAACUCCGUGCCAGCAGCCGCGGUAAUACGGAGAGGGCUAGCGUUAUUCGGAAUUAUUGGGCGUAAAGAGCGCGUAGGCUAGUUAGUAAGUUAAAAGUGAAAUCCCAAAGCUCAACUUUGGAAUUGCUUUUAAAACUGCUAACCUAGAGAUUGAAAGAGGAUAGAGGAAUUCCUAGUGUAGAGGUGAAAUUCGUAAAUAUUAGGGAGGAACACCAGUGGCGAAGGCGUCUAUCUGGUUCAAAUCUGACGCUGAGGGCGCGAAGGCGUGGGGAGCAAACAGGAUUAGAUACCCUGGUAGUCCACGCUGUAAACGAUGAAUGUUAAAUAUGGGAAGUUUACUUUCUGUAUUACAGCUAACGCGUUAAACAUUCCGCCUGGGGACUACGGUCGCAAGAUUAAAACUCAAAGGAAUUGACGGGGACCCGCACAAGCGGUGGAGCAUGUGGUUUAAUUCGAUGCAACGCGA